Long non-coding RNA from Gopherus agassizii (Agassiz's desert tortoise), 1283 nucleotides. Lineage: Eukaryota; Metazoa; Chordata; Testudines; Testudinidae. The record is from Ensembl.
UCCCCCUUCUGUCUUCUCUGCUUAGCUCCCCCUGCCCCAGCACUGCACAGUGGAUCGUUCCAUAUGAUUUGGUCUGGAAGGAGUUCCAGAGCGGGUAGAGGAAUAGGUGAAGAGUGAUGUGGUGAGUUCCUUCCACACAAGUCAAUGUGCCGAGCUUGCCAUAUCCAAUUUUACCAUUUUCCACUUCUCUUACAGAAAGAAAACUGCCUCUGUGGGGACCUCAGCAUGCCAGAGACUAGACUGAGAUCAUCUUAUUUGAGCCGAGGCAGGAUUUGAUUAAACUCAGAUUAUCAGAGGUGUAAGAUUGUUUCAUUAGCAAAAAUGGGUCAUAUGAAACCCCCUUCAUCAGCUGCACCACAUCAUGACACGACGGUUCUCUCACAUUGCCUCUCUUCCAUGCAGCUGGAAUCGCUUUCUCGCUCAACACUAAACUAUGGGAUGUUUGCAAUUAAGCUCCCCCCCCCUUUAAAAGUAGCAUUCAGAGCUCCAUAAAGUCAUCUGGAAGUGCCAUGAACCUUUGGACUGAGAUGGAUGUGCACAUGGCUGCCAGGGCUGGAUAGCUAUUGGCCCAGAUGUGAAGAUUUGUGUUGGCACUGGGACACAGGAAUGUCAAAGUUUGAGAGACUCUGGCCAGAGUCCUGAUCUCUCCAGAUGGUCACAGGAUAUAAAGUGCAGCUGGGAGGCAAGCUCCAGAACGCUCCUAGAGAAGCUCUGAGGCUGCAGAAUUGCAUUAGACGAAAAGGAGGAGAUGAGGAAACUUCUGGUGCUGCUACUCCUAACCCUGGCAGCCUUCUGCUAUUGUGCAAGAGAUUCAAAGGACACUUUGGAAUCACACGAUGUUGAAGGUGUUAAGGUAAAAAGAGAAAUGGCUAAUGCCUUUGUGAGGAGGCAGAAGAGGUCCUACCCCUAUUAUGAAAGGUAAAAUCUUCCCUGCCUCACCAGUUGGGCUAAGGACUGAACUCUGUAUUGAUUAUUUCAGAGGGGGAUAGGAAGGCAGUGGGAUGUGGCAAGGAAUUUGAUUCAUGUCUGGGAUAACAUCCUCACACACACAAGCAGAAAAAAGAGGAUGCUGGAGAUACUUACUGGAGACAAGUGGCCUAUUCUUCCUCAAAGGGCCAUAAAUAUCCCCUGAGGAGUCUCUGACAGACAUAGAGUGACCAUAGUUAGCUUUACAUCACCUCCUGUAAGAGACCCCAGCACAGGGACAUGCCAGAUGCAUUGCUGGGAGUACUCAGGAAGAGGGGGUACUUGGCCAGCAUUCCUAGGCUGCUGAUACUUCUGGC